ACACGUCAUCGUGUGACCUGAACGUCAUCCAUCACUGGAGCUAGAGAGUGGAUUAACGGAGCCAACUAAACCCUUCACCCUGACAAAGAACUGGCGGGAGAACUAUAGAAACUCAUCCAAAAUUUUACCAACAUGAAUGCGGAGUAAUAGGGCCACGGAUGCUCCCGCUGUUCCGCUGCUUCGCUCCCUGCACUGAGAGGAGCAGUGCUGUGCUUCACAGCAGAACCUCCAAAGGAUGUGACGCUACAUGAGAUGAAACAUGGGGAGGAUGCAGCCUCCUGCUUCACACACCUUGGUGAAUCUCUAACAUGCCAUGGAGAAAUUUCCAGAUGAUCUUUAUCACCGGGUAUCAAUAGAGUCCUGCCAGCCCCUCAUGUGUCGCAGAGUGCAUGAAGACAGGGAGGUGUAAGGGGAAGCCAUGACCGCUGCUUGAUUAAAAUAUUCUGCUUUCCAGCCUGGCUCGUACAGGAUCCCCAGUCUGGCUCAGAGCAGAACCACAGCAGAGCAGUUUUGCUCUGAGCUGGUCCCAUUGCUCGCCCAAGCAGGAUGAUUUGCAAAUCCAUCUUAAUAGUUUAAAAAUUAGAGAUCAACCGUUUUGCACAAGUUGUGAUUUUAAAGGUGAAGGAUAUUUCCCAUACCUAUGUCAAUAGACACAUCAGGAUUAUGCUCUUCCUCCUUCAUCAGAUGUUCCAAGCUGUGCAAAACCCAUUGCCAACCGCAGAACUAAUUGGCUGAUAGUGAAAGAAGCUCUUAAGCAAUAAGAACCCCAUACAAGCAGAAGGAGAGCAUUUUAACUGUGGUUUGCGCUGAGAUGGAGCACCCAACCCUCAGGCUGCCGGAGAAGAGAGAUGUGGAAAAAUGGUUUCCAAGACAGAAAUGAGAGCCCACCAGUGCUGGGCUGCCGGCAGCAGUAACAGAGGAGGACAAACCCGAAUCUGUUCAGAACACGUACCAAGAAAUAGUGGGAACAAUAAGUGAAUAACAA
Molecule: long non-coding RNA, 985 nt
Organism: Gallus gallus (chicken)
Lineage: Eukaryota; Metazoa; Chordata; Aves; Galliformes; Phasianidae
Source: Ensembl